Gasterosteus aculeatus aculeatus (three-spined stickleback) is the source of this 327-nucleotide long non-coding RNA. NCBI's taxonomy places the organism in Eukaryota, Metazoa, Chordata, Actinopteri, Perciformes, Gasterosteidae. The record is from Ensembl.
ACCAUCAGGUGUCCCAUCAGUUAUCCCACCACGUAUCCCAUUAGGUGAACCAUCAGGUGUCCCAUCAGUUAUCCCACCAUGUAUCCCAUGAGGUGAACCAUCAGGUGUUCCAUCAGUUAUCCCACCACGUAUCCCAUGAGGUGAACCAUCAGGUGUCCCAUCAGUUAUUCCACCACGUAUCCCAUCAGGUGAACCAUCUGUGUCCCAUCAGUUAUCCCACCACAUAUCCCAUUAGGUGAACCAUCUGUGUCCCAUCAGUUAUCCCACCACAUAUCCCAUUAGGUGAACCAUCAGGUGUCCCAUCAGUUAUCCCACCACGUAUCCCAU